UUCUCAUAUAUCAGCUGAAUUCUUUCUUUAGCUCAGUGUGUCUGUACCUGCAGAAUGGAAAGGUUUUAUGGGGUUACUAGAGGGUGAAAUCUGCACAUAGUCUUGAUAUGACAUGAUGAAAUCAACUUGAUGCUGAAAAAGGAUGAGUUCGAAGACCCAAACCCCCUUUAGGAACUACAACUGCAAACUGACAAUAACAGUCCAGCAUCAACAUAUCCAACAGCAACCCAGAACAUUUCAUGAAGUACUGAGUAAUAUACAACAUCCAGCUUGAAGCAUUGUUUUCUGUGUCUAUUCAGUGCAGAAAUCCAUCACUGAAGUGGAAAUGCAGGGAGCAGUAUGGAGUACCACAAGGUUCAGUACUAGGACCAUUGCUUUUCACGCUUUACAUGCUACCCUUGGGAGAUAUAAUGAGGAAACAUGGUGUUAGCUUUCACUGUUAUGCUGAUAAUACUCAGCUCUAUAUUUCUUCAUGGCCUGACAAAAC
Cyprinus carpio carpio is the source of this 487-nucleotide long non-coding RNA. Lineage: Eukaryota; Metazoa; Chordata; Actinopteri; Cypriniformes; Cyprinidae. The record is from Ensembl.